This 31-nucleotide non-coding RNA is filed under the name Mus musculus (house mouse). Lineage: Eukaryota; Metazoa; Chordata; Mammalia; Rodentia; Muridae. The record is from RNAcentral.
UGGAACACUCAGACAGCUAAUAUACUUUCCA